Dipodomys ordii (Ord's kangaroo rat) is the source of this 91-nucleotide small nucleolar RNA. The record is from Ensembl. NCBI's taxonomy places the organism in Eukaryota, Metazoa, Chordata, Mammalia, Rodentia, Heteromyidae.
AUAUAUGCAGGUUAUGACUUCACUUUUUUCCCCAUUGGAUCGACCAUGUCGAUCUCCUAGGAUGUUUGUCAGUUUGUGCUGAUGCUUGGGG